This 497-nucleotide ribosomal RNA is filed under the name uncultured bacterium. Its description in RNAcentral is "partial 16S ribosomal RNA". It matches the Rfam family "Bacterial small subunit ribosomal RNA", at positions 28 to 507 of the family's 1533-position model. The record is from RNAcentral.
GAUGAACGCUGGCGGCGUGCCUAAUACAUGCAAGUCGAGCGAACAGAUGAGGAGCUUGCUCCUCUGACGUUAGCGGCGGACGGGUGAGUAACACGUGGAUAACCUACCUAUAAGACUGGGAUAACUUCGGGAAACCGGAGCUAAUCCCGGAUAAUAUAUUGAACCGCAUGGUUCAAUAGUGAAAGACGGUUUUGCUGUCACUUAUAGAUGGAUCCGCGCCGCAUUAGCUAGUUGGUAAGGUAACGGCUUACCAAGGCAACGAUGCGUAGCCGACCUGAGAGGGUGAUCGGCCACACUGGAACUGAGACACGGUCCAGACUCCUACGGGAGGCAGCAGUAGGGAAUCUUCCGCAAUGGGCGAAAGCCUGACGGAGCAACGCCGCGUGAGUUAUGAAGGUCUUCGGAUCGUAAAACUCUGUUAUUAGGGAAGAACAAAUGUGUAAGUAACUAUGCACGUCUUGACGGUACCUAAUCAGAAAGCCACGGCUAACUACGUG